Molecule: ribosomal RNA, 1357 nt
Filed under: metagenome
Description: bacterial SSU rRNA
Rfam family: Bacterial small subunit ribosomal RNA
Source: RNAcentral
GGGUUUGAUCCUGGCCCAGGGUGAACGCUGGCGGCGUGCCUUAGGCACGCAAGUGGAACGCCUCUGCUUCGGCAGAGGAGUCGCGAACGGCUGAGUAACACGUAGGAAUCUAUCCUUUGGUGGGGAAUACCCCCGCGAAAGUGGGGUUAAUACCGCAUAAGUCCCAAGAGCAAUCUUGGGGGAAAGGACAUAACUGUCCACCGAUGGAGGAGCCUGCGGCCCAUCAGCUUGUUGGUAGGGUAAUGGCCUACCAAGGCAACGACGGGUAGGGGGCGUGAGAGCGCGAUCCCCCAGAAUGGCACUGAGACACGGGCCAUACACCUACGGGUGGCAGCAACUAGGAAUAGUGCGCAAUGGACGAAAGUCUGACGCCGCGACGCCGCGUGAGGGAUGACGGCCUUCGGGUUGUAAACCUCUUUUGCCAUACAAGAGAUUUUAUGGAGAAUAAGCACCCGCUAACUACGUGCCAGCAGCUGCGGUAAUACGUAGGGUGCAAGCGUUGCCCGGAUUUAUUGGGCGUAAAGCGUGCGCAGGUUUUUUGGUAAGUUAUGUUUAAAAGCCCAGGGCUCAACCUUGGAAAGGGGCAUAAUACUGCCAGAAUUGGAGGAUUUAGGGGCUACUGGAACUUAUCAUGUAGGGGUGAAAUCCGUUGAUAUGAUAAGGAACACCGAGGGCGAAGGCAAGUAGCUGGAAAUCUCUCGACACUGAGGUACGAAAGCUAGGGGAGCGAAAGGGAUUAGAGACCCCUGUAGUCCUAGCCGUAAACGAUGCUCGCUAGCCGUGUGAUUUAUUUUAUGCGGCGCAAGCUAACGCGUUAAGCGAGCCGCCUGGGGAGUACGAACGCAAGUUUAAAACUCAAAGGAAUUGACGGGGACCCGCACAACCAGUGGAGCAUGUGGUUUAAUUCGAGACGAACCGAAGAACCUUACCUGGAUUUGACAUGCUACUUAUUAGUCUUGCAGAGAUGCGAGAUGAUCCUGCAUUUGUAGGAAGGUAGCACAGGUGUUGCAUGGCUGUCGUCAGCUCGUGCCGUGAGGUGUUCCCUUCAGUGGGGUAACGAGCGCAACCCCUGCCGUAUGUUAAAUAUUCAUACGGGACAACCGAGUAUUUCUCGGAGGAAGUGGGGACGACGUCAAGUCAGCAUGGCCCUUAUAUCCAGGGCGACACACAUGCUACAAUGGAGCCGACAAUGGGUUGCCAAGCAGUAAUGCGGAGCUAAUCCCAUCAAACGGCUUCUCAGUUGGGAUUGAGGGCUGCAACUCGCCCUCAUGAACGUGGAAUUGGUAGUAAUCGCGAAUCAGCUAUGUCGCGGUGAAUACGUUCUCGGGUCUUGUACACACCGCCCGUCAAGUCAGCA